CAGCCGCCGCGGUAAUGCGUAGGUGGCAAGCGUUGUCCGGAAUUAUUGGGCGUAAAGGGCUCGCAGGCGGUUUCUUAAGUCUGAUGUGAAAGCCCCCGGCUCAACCGGGGAGGGUCAUUGAAAACUGGGAAACUUGAGUGCAGAAGAGGAGAGUGGAAUUCCACGUGUAGCGGUGAAAUGCGUAGAGAUGUGGAGGAACACCAGUGGCGAAGGCGACUCUCUGGUCUGUAACUGACGCUGAGGAGCGAAAGCGUGGGGAGCGAACAGGAUUAGAUACCCCCGUAGUCCCUGUCUCUUAUAC
This 301-nucleotide ribosomal RNA is filed under the name uncultured bacterium. Its description in RNAcentral is "partial 16S ribosomal RNA". It matches the Rfam family "Bacterial small subunit ribosomal RNA", at positions 509 to 807 of the family's 1533-position model. The record is from RNAcentral.